CAACUUUCAACAACGGAUCUCUUGGUUCUGGCAUCGAUGAAGAACGCAGCGAAAUGCGAUAAGUAGUGUGAAUUGCAGAAUUCAGUGAAUCAUCGAAUCUUUGAACGCACAUUGCGCCCUUUGGUAUUCCAAAGGGCAUGCCUGUUCGAGCGUCAUU
RNAcentral lists this ribosomal RNA (157 nucleotides) under Alternaria alternata. RNAcentral describes it as "5.8S ribosomal RNA". It matches the Rfam family "5.8S ribosomal RNA". Rfam says of the family: 5.8S ribosomal RNA (5.8S rRNA) is a component of the large subunit of the eukaryotic ribosome. The record is from RNAcentral. Lineage: Eukaryota; Fungi; Ascomycota; Dothideomycetes; Pleosporales; Pleosporaceae. RNAcentral also lists the same sequence under 32 other names.